Long non-coding RNA from Haliotis rufescens (red abalone), 993 nucleotides. RefSeq lists it as uncharacterized. Lineage: Eukaryota; Metazoa; Mollusca; Gastropoda; Lepetellida; Haliotidae. The transcript is spliced from 2 exons. The record is from RefSeq and is a predicted model, not a curated record.
AACUGUAUUGAAAGGAGUAAAGUUGACGCUUUGUUCAUAGAUGCUUUGUUACUGUAUUGACAGGAGUAAAGUUGACACUUUGUACAUAUAUGCAUUGUAACUGUAUUGACCGGAGUAAAUUUGACACUUUGUAUAUGGAUGCAUUGUAACUGUAUUGACUUUAGUAAAGUUGUCACUUUGUACAUAGGUGCAUUGUAACUGUUUUGACAGGAGUGAUGCUGACACUUUAUAAUUGCAUGCAUUGUAACUGUAUUCACAAGAGUAAAUUUGACACUUUGUAUAUGGAUGCAUUGUAACUGUAUUGACGGGAGUAAAUUUGACACUUUGUAUAUGGAUGUAUAGUAACUUUAUUGACAGAAAUAAAUUUGACACUUUGUACAUAGGUGCAUUGUAACUGUAUUACAACUUGACUGUUUUGAACUUAUAGGCCGUCGGUCCAACGAUCACUUGAUUGUCUGGUCUUUAUACAGGCCGUUGUCUUACGUCAGGAUUAUUGUGUUAGGCAACAAACAAACACAUACUUUUUUAUGGAAACUGUUUGAAUGGCGUUUGCUACUCAUGGGUGGCGAACAUUUUUGCGAACAGCUGGUGCCAUCACUGAUAUUGUACACGGAUAAAUGUGUUCAUGUAUUUCCUGAAGUAAAAUUAAUCGUUGGUACAUAGACACGUUAGAGACUUAACUCCUUGUAGUAAAAUUCGCACUUUGCAUUGUAAAUGGUUUGGCAUGUUUAUUUGAUUGGACAUGCGUGACUGGAGUAAAAUUGAUACUUUGAGACAUAAUUAAGAUUCACUGAUAAUCAUUGUAUAAUAAUUGACCAAUAUUAGACAUAAUUUGUAUUGUGUACAUUUAUCUGUAUACGUAAUUAUCUUUGUCAAUCCUCUUUGACAAGUUACACAUUCCUGGUUUUAUUUCACUUCAUUGUUUGUCAUUUUCUUGAAAUCCAUGUGCACUUGGUGAUAAUAAAGAAACUAUUUAUGUUCUUUUUUUCUGUA